GCCUGGCUAGCUCAGUUGGUAGAGCAUGAGACUCUAAAUCUCAGGGUCGUGGGUUAGAGCCCCAUAUUGAGCG
Danio rerio (zebrafish) is the source of this 73-nucleotide non-coding RNA. The record is from Rfam. NCBI's taxonomy places the organism in Eukaryota, Metazoa, Chordata, Actinopteri, Cypriniformes, Danionidae.